Long non-coding RNA from Girardinichthys multiradiatus, 3681 nucleotides. RefSeq lists it as uncharacterized. Lineage: Eukaryota; Metazoa; Chordata; Actinopteri; Cyprinodontiformes; Goodeidae. The record is from RefSeq and is a predicted model, not a curated record. The transcript is spliced from 2 exons.
AACUUUCAAGAGGUUGAUUGAGAGACGGUCGAAAGGUAAUAUGUUAGUCAUCACAGCAAAAGGGCGGCUACUUCAAAGAAUCCAAAAUACAAAACAUAUUUAUAGUUCUUUAUUCAAUUUUUGGUUUGCUACAUAAUUGCAUAUAGGCCUUCAGUGAGAAUCUGUUUCAUAGAGUCAUUGGAAGAGCUGUUGCUGCCAUUGCCUCUGUACCCUUUUUCUUUUUCAUCCCCAUCUAAGGUUCUCUUGGCUUUUGUUUAGCUGUGUCUCCUUACUAGAUAGACAUUGAAAGAUCUCCUCCUUCCAUUAACUACGUGUACGCUCCUUGGUUUUCUUUCCCAAAGAAUAUAGUCCUGACCACCCAUAACAUAGCUGACACAUACAAUUCAGAGAAAAAUGUGGAGCAAUAAUAUCUGCCAUACAAAGUUCCAACCUACUACAGCUGACAUCCUAAUAAUGCAGUUUAAUUGUAGGACUGUUGGUUUUUGUUUUAUAAGAUGCAGCAUUUGAAAACAAAACUUUCUAAAUCACCUAUCAACUUUCCCUUUUCAGGUGGUGAGAAAAAUCUCACCCCACACAUUUGUCCUUGCUGUCAUUCACUUUAACUUGUCUCAUGAGAACUAAGUUUCGUUAGGAAAUGACACAUUUAAAACUUUUCUUUGACAUUUCCUAUUGCUCUGCUCGUUUCUAAAGCAAUGCAGGGAUUUAAUAAAAUACAUUUACCAGGCAGAAGUAGGCUUAAUUGUAAUUCUGUCGACUUAUGUAGCAAGUGCUUGAAUGAAACAGAUAUUCAUAUAUUUGAAAGUCACACUUUGCAGCAUAAAAUGCAUAUUAAUGCACCUGAAAGAGCAGCUGUCAGACACUUAUGUAUUUAUACCUUCCUGCACCGUACACCUUUUGAAACAGAGUAACAUCUACAGUUAUUUUCACUGCUUUAAACUGAUUGUUAUAAGUAAUUAAUGGAUUGUUAAAUGUGCUGUUCCUAAAAAGUAUUUCUACCUCUAGGACAUUUUCAGACGGUCACAUUAGAACCAUAAAAUUCAAGGUAUUUUAUUGGGAUUUUAUGUUUUGACUUUUUUUACAAUUAUGUUGAAAAAUGUGGUAAACAUUUAUAUUCAGCCUUCCUGAGUCAAUCCCACAUUUUGAAGUACAAGUUUUUUUGGGCCAUAGUCCUACAAACCUUUAACAACCAGAGACUUAAAUCAGUCAGACUAAAUGGAGAGUGUCUGUGCACAACAGAAUUUAAUUCCUUGACACAGAUUCACAAUUGGAUUUAGGUCUGAACUUUGACUCGCCGAUUCUAACGCUUUGCUGUAAACCAUUCUAUGAUAGGCCAGGCUAUAAGUUUAAAAUCAUGGUCCUGCUAGAAGGUAAACAUCCACCACUAUCUCAAAUCUUACAUCUUUUACAGCAGGUUUUUUUCUGGAAUUGCCCUGUAUUUAGCUCCAUCCAACUUUCUGUCAUCUCUCCAGAAAAGCACUCCUGCAGCAUGAUACUGCCAUCACCAUGCUUGAGUUUGGAGAUGGUGUGUUCAGGGUAAUGUCAAAUGCUAGUUUUUCAAUACACAUAGUGCUUACAAUGUAGGCCAAAAAGUACACUUGUGGUCCCAUCUGACUAGAGCACCUGCUUUCACAUGCAUGCUGUGCCCCAUACAUUGCUGUGGCAACCUGUAAACCUGUAGAAUUUCCAAUGUAUUUCUGUCAAAUAUAGCUUAAUUCUUGCUAAAAUUGGAUAGGAGACAUAUUUAUGGAGUGCACAACAAAUAGAUGUUGUUGGGUCAUCAUCCAGCCAAACGAACUACUAUGCAGCUCAACAGGCGUCACAGCUCUGAUGUCACAGGCGGUGUGCUUUACAAGGGCUCGCGGAACAUUCCGACUCCGCUUUUUUGCAGCUGGAGCCAAGACAAGUUACCACACUACGGAAGCACAUCUUUGGAGAAUCAGAUGCUCAAUCCAUUCAAAGCUUUGAUGCAUUCCGAAAUCAGGUCAUAAACUGCUGAUUUGAUCUCCAUCUACCCUCAGCACAUAUCCUUAUUUUUGGUUAUUAAUGUAACCCUUUUGUAGAAUAGUGCAUGCUCAAUUAGGGGAAACGUUGUUGACCAGAAUAGUUAAAUGUAAGAGAGGCUAUUGGUUUAAUAAUUUUUCACAUAGAUAAAAUAAGUCAAAAUACAGUUAGUGUUCCCCACUAUCUGAUAAAAUGGUUAACACAGUGACAUUUAGUGUGGUUUACAUUAUUAAUUAUUAUUAUUUCAUUAUUUUCAUUAUUAUUAAUGAUAAUUAACUAAUUGUAAUUAAUAAGUGCUCUGAGCCCAAUAAUCACACCCCCAGAGUGUAUCUCUGAUCUCUAUUGGUAAGAAAAGAUUUUUGGGUAUUUAUAUAUAUGAAUAUUUAUAACCAAUAAUCAUAAUCCCUUACAAUGUUCAUUCAACAGAUUCUCAAGCCUGAACUGUGGAUCCCUGCAGCUCCUCUAGAGUUACCAGUGGCUUCGAUGAAUGCUUUCCAUGCCUGACAGCUUGUGUCUGGCUCUGCCUUCCUGUAAUACAUGAACACUUAGGCAGAGAUUUGCAUACACAGAGGGGAAGGAAAAGUAGGUUUGAGUGUGAGAGCAUGAUGGAGGGAGCUUCAGUCUUUCUCAAAGGCAGACAAAGACAAGAGAUCACCAGCCUGUCAGUGUGAAACCAGCCAUUCAGUCUGAGAGGCAUCAUGCAUGAUAAUCCCAAAGGAGUGUAGAGGUGUCUAUUUAUGUGUGAAUGGGUAAACCAGCGUGUGUGCAAUUUAGUCUGCCUCCAGGUUUAAACAGUUCAAUGAGAAUAUGCUCACAUUCUUUGUGGUGCAACCUACUGCGUGUGAGCAGCACAGGUCAAAUUCAAACUAAAAAUUGGUUGCUGUGUUUAAAAGUAUUUGUACUCUCAUACCAUUUUCCUAUUUCUAUGUAUGAAUCUGGCAGAUAUGUGGGUUUGUAACUACUAUGUCAACAGUGUUCCCACACAUUUUAAAGUGAAAAUUCCAUACUUUUCAAGACUGAGAUUUCCAGAUGGAUGGAAGGAAGAAAGGAAGGAUACAUAUUCAUAACAUAAUUAAGCAGAAAUAUUGGUUAAACAUGGUUAAUGUCUUUUGUAAACAUCUUGAAUCUCAGUUUUGUUUUACAUUUACCUAUACACACACAACACUUCCGCCAACCAGCAUAUAGUUAGCCCCUAAACACCUGAACAAAAACAAUACUCUGUCUGUAGUAUACGUAGUAUAUUAUGUUAAAAAAAUAAAUAAAAAUAAAACCACAGUACUUUUAAAGCCAAUGGAACAAUGUCAGUGAAUGGACAAAACUAUUAAUAUUAUUAUACUGUAUAUUAUUUAAAGGUCCAUUUAAAGAGUCCCCAGGUAGAUUUUGUUAGAAAACAGUCCUUGGGGUGCUGAUUUUAUGAGCCUAUACCUGCCAAGCAGUCAAAAGUUUUCUGUCCAGUGCUGUAAACUGUCUGAAUGAAGCAAUCACACUGGGACAAAACAACUUUUAUGCUGCGAGUCAGAUCGAACAAACUCUUAGCUGAUGGAGGGUGGGGUUAAAAUUUAGCAAAUAUAUCAAAUAUGUUUUAUUUGGUGGUUGUAAAAAAAUACAGAAAGAGUUAACAGAGACUUUGUAAAUUUGUUGGACUGCAAGAAGUGAUUCAUUGUCAUUGUCACAUUUAAA